Molecule: long non-coding RNA, 265 nt
Organism: Amblyraja radiata (thorny skate)
Lineage: Eukaryota; Metazoa; Chordata; Chondrichthyes; Rajiformes; Rajidae
Exons: 4
Source: RefSeq, a predicted model, not a curated record
CGUUGCCUAUUUCCUUCAAGGAUUUCGGCCUAGUGUGAAAUGGUCGGUGUGGACUCGCUGGGAUUCCAUGUCUAAACUAAUGGGUUAAAGUUUGAAAACAAAGCAUUUUUCUCUUUGAAACAGGUGGUUUAGUUUUUGUUUAAAAUGGGGUUUUUUAUGACAGUCCACCUGUUCUUGUGGCUGUCAUUAUAUGUUGAUGAUUCAUGCUAGGAUUUGCAAUGUAGUCAGGGCCAUCUUCUCCAAGUCAAGUCAAUUUUAUUGUCAC